This 468-nucleotide ribosomal RNA is filed under the name uncultured bacterium. RNAcentral's name for it is "partial 16S ribosomal RNA". It matches the Rfam family "Bacterial small subunit ribosomal RNA", at positions 28 to 507 of the family's 1533-position model. The record is from RNAcentral.
GACGAACGCUGGCGGCGUGCUUAACACAUGCAAGUCGAACGGAAAGGCCCUGCUUUUGUGGGGUGCUCGAGUGGCGAACGGGUGAGUAACACGUGAGUAACCUGCCCUUGACUUUGGGAUAACUUCAGGAAACUGGGGCUAAUACCGGAUAGGAGCUCCUGCUGCAUGGUGGGGGUUGGAAAGUUUCGGCGGUUGGGGAUGGACUCGCGGCUUAUCCGCUUGUUGGUGGGGUAGUGGCUUACCAAGGUUUUGACGGGUAGCCGGCCUGAGAGGGUGACCGGCCACAUUGGGACUGAGAUACGGCCCAGACUCCUACGGGAGGCAGCAGUGGGGAAUAUUGCACAAUGGGCGGAAGCCUGAUGCAGCAACGCCGCGUGCGGGAUGACGGCCUUCGAGUUGUAAACCGCUUUCGCCUGUAACGAAGCGUGAGUGACGGUAAUGGGUAAAGAAGCACCGGCUAACUACGUG